AUUCCUACGGGAGGCAGCAGUGGGGAAUUUUGGACAAUGGGCGCAAGCCUGAUCCAGCCAUGCCGCGUGCGGGAAGAAGGCCUUCGGGUUGUAAACCGCUUUUGUCAGGGAAGAAAUCUUCUGGGUUAAUACCUCGGGAGGAUGACGGUACCUGAAGAAUAAGCACCGGCUAACUACGUGCCAGCAGCCGCGGUAAUACGUAGGGUGCGAGCGUUAAUCGGAAUUACUGGGCGUAAAGCGUGCGCAGGCGGUCUUGCAAGACAGGUGUGAAAUCCCCGGGCUUAACCUGGGAACUGCACUUGUGACUGCAAGGCUGGAGUACGGCAGAGGGGGAUGGAAUUCCGCGUGUAGCAGUGAAAUGCGUAGAUAUGCGGAGGAACACCGAUGGCGAAGGCAAUCCCCUGGGCCUGUACUGACGCUCAUGCACGAAAGCGUGGGGAGCAAACAGGAUUAGAUACCCUGGUAGUCCACGCCCUAAACGAUGUCAACUGGUUGUUGGACGGCUUGCUGUUCAGUAACGAAGCUAACGCGUGAAGUUGACCGCCUGGGGAGUACGGCCGCAAGGUUGAAACUCAAAUGAAUUGACGGA
This 589-nucleotide ribosomal RNA is filed under the name uncultured bacterium. RNAcentral describes it as "bacterial SSU rRNA". It matches the Rfam family "Bacterial small subunit ribosomal RNA", at positions 335 to 917 of the family's 1533-position model. The record is from RNAcentral.